UGGACCUGGAGCGCAGGAACCACGGAGCGCUUGUCUUGGAAGUCGAGUUUCACCAGGUAGCGGACCCGGAGCACAGGAUCCAGGAGGUAGAGAACCGGGUACUCGAAAUCUGCGGAGCGCGAUUCCCAUACGUCCUCUCUACUACGCGGUUGUUUCCAGACUGCGGAAUUCGACUAGCUGAAUUUCGUCGUCGACGAUUGCUAUAGAUCGAUGACGUCAAGAAAAAAAAAUUUUGUGUGACGGCACUUUCUGAACAUCCGAACAUCCGAAAAUCCAAAAUAUGGUUUCGAAAUUUAAUACUAUGUAUGGUGUAUGAUUUCCGAAAUUUUCGAUGACAAGUGAACUUGUCUUUUACUAAAAAUUGUUUUUUAAAAUUUCUCUUAUUUUUGGAUAAAUAUUAUUUCGGAAAAAAGGAAUAUAAGAUCAAUUUGAAAUCAUACGAUUUGAAUGACAUUGUUCUAUUCAUAUAUUACUUCAAACAAUGAGAUUCUUCAGAAACUACUGACGUGAGUAAAUUCACAUAUUAAUUGUAUUACUCAUUUUGUACUGUAAAAUAUAAAAUUGCGGAAAAUAAUCAACAAUUAUGGCCUAAGACUUAUUGUUAGAUGUUAUAAAUUAUUAAAAUCGAAGCUCGAUCAUUUUCAAUAAAUUUCUUAUGAGCCUUGGCAAAGGCAGGCUUGAUGAACGCGUCCAUCUGAGGUUUCAUCUCCAAUCUGCACGGCAAAAGUUGUCUGGAAUUCCAGGAAAACUGUCAUAAUGGAAAUUUAUUGAGUGUCUACAAGUUUGAUACAAUAUACUAAAUACGUCACUUACCUUAUAAAUAUACGUAUGUCAGAAUGUAUUUACUAAUUACUUACGGUCAAAAUUACACGUUCAUUACUAAUGCCCGCCAUCGAGUAAUAAUAGAGUAAAGUGUGCCGAAGCAGCCUUCACUCGUUGUAUCUAUAUAUUUAUCACGUUAUUAAGUAUACCAUAACAGGAAAUUCAUAUAUAAUCAUAUGUGUCUCCUGGAUAACUUCAAAUUAGACAAUUAGGUGAUAUAACAAAUCAAAUGAAUCAUGGUAGACAAUUAGCAUGCUGGGUGGCUGGACCCAUAUAAAAGAUUGACAAUUCACGACGGUUCCUGAUUUUUCAGUUUUUGCUUUCAAAAUUCGAUUUGAAAUGGGUACAAUUUUCUAUAAGAGAAAUCGACAAUAACCUUUAGUUAUCGAUGCAUCUGUUAUUGUACACGCGGUACACUGAACAAUUGUAAAAUGAGAAUACCAAUAUCUUGUAAGUUGUAACAAUAUGCAAUACGUCGCGAAGUUUCAUUCCGAGACCGGCCUUCAGCUGCGGUCUAAUGAGUUAGAUAAAAUGUAGAACCCCAGCUACAACUCAUUUGCCAAUUUGACUGACGUUCAUUGUUGUUCUAUAGCGGCGAUUCGUUUGUUCGCUGAAUAUUUAUCACGCAAUUUCGAUAUUUGCUACACAGUAUAGAAAAUAGAUUAUAAAAUUUAUACCUUCCGUUGUAAAAUUCAAGUCGACUAUAUUAUGUAAUAAGAUUGUUACAUCAACCAAAAGAUCGUUACAGAGAUAAAAGGAAAUAA
Long non-coding RNA from Neodiprion virginianus, 1586 nucleotides. RefSeq lists it as uncharacterized. The record is from RefSeq and is a predicted model, not a curated record. NCBI's taxonomy places the organism in Eukaryota, Metazoa, Arthropoda, Insecta, Hymenoptera, Diprionidae. The transcript has 2 exons.